CAGGAUGAAUGCUAGCUACAGGCUUAACACAUGCAAGUCGAGGGGCAGCAUGUGGUUGCUUGCAACCAAUGAUGGCGACCGGCGCACGGGUGAGUAACGCGUAUCCAACCUUCCCCUUAGUAGAGGAUAGCCCGGCGAAAGUCGGAUUAAUACUCUAUGUUCUUCAAUGCGGACAUCUAAGUUGAAGCAAAGAUUUAUCGCUAAGGGAUGGGGAUGCGUCUGAUUAGGUUGCAGGCGGGGUAACGGCCCACCUGGCCUACGAUCAGUAGGGGUUCUGAGAGGAAGGUCCCCCACACUGGUACUGAGACACGGACCAGACUCCUACGGGAGGCAGCAGUGAGGAAUAUUGGUCAAUGGGCGCGAGCCUGAACCAGCCAAGUAGCGUGCAGGAACCGACUGCCCUAUGGGUUGUAAACUGCUUUUAUCAGGGAAUAAAGUGAGGCACGCGUGCCUUUUUGUAUGUACCUGAUGAAUAAGGACCGGCUAACUCCGUGCCAGCAGCUGC
This 505-nucleotide ribosomal RNA is filed under the name uncultured bacterium. Its description in RNAcentral is "bacterial SSU rRNA". It matches the Rfam family "Bacterial small subunit ribosomal RNA", at positions 25 to 518 of the family's 1533-position model. The record is from RNAcentral.